Molecule: ribosomal RNA, 105 nt
Filed under: uncultured crenarchaeote
Lineage: Archaea; Thermoproteati; Thermoproteota
Description: partial 16S ribosomal RNA
Rfam family: Archaeal small subunit ribosomal RNA
Source: RNAcentral
CCUGACAGGGUUACUCUGAGUGAUCUCCGCUAAGGAGAUCUUUUGGCACCUCUAAAAAUGGUGCAGAAUAAGGGGUGGGCAAGUCUGGUGUCAGCCGCCGCAGUA